AUUGAACGCUAGCGGCAUGCCUAACACAUGCAAGUCGAACGAGUGGCGGACGGGUGAGUAAUGUCUGGGAACCUGCCCGAUGGAGGGGGAUAACUACUCGAAACAGUAGCUAAUACCGCAUACCAUCGGAUGUGCCCAGAUCGGAUUAGCUAGUGGGUGGGGUAAUGGCUCACCUAGGCUACGAUCCCUAGCUGGUCUGAGAGGAUGACCAGCCACACUGGAACUGAGAAACGGUCAAGACUCCUACGGGAGGCAGCAGUGGGGAAGAUUGCACAAUGGGCGAAAGCCUGAUGCAGCCAUGCCGCGUGUAUGAAGAAGGCCUUCGGGUUGUAAAGUACUUUCAGCGAGGAGGCGUUACUCGCAGAAGAAGCACCGGCUAACUCCGUGCCAGCAGCCGCGGUAAUAC
This 406-nucleotide ribosomal RNA is filed under the name uncultured bacterium. RNAcentral describes it as "partial 16S ribosomal RNA". It matches the Rfam family "Bacterial small subunit ribosomal RNA", at positions 30 to 526 of the family's 1533-position model. The record is from RNAcentral.